RNAcentral lists this ribosomal RNA (406 nucleotides) under uncultured bacterium. Its description in RNAcentral is "partial 16S ribosomal RNA". It matches the Rfam family "Bacterial small subunit ribosomal RNA", at positions 30 to 526 of the family's 1533-position model. The record is from RNAcentral.
AUUGAACGCUGGCGGCAUGCCUAACACAUGCAAGUCGAGCGAGCGGCGGACGGGUGAGUAAUGUAUUGGGACCUGCCUGAUAGAGGGGUAUAACUACUGGAAACGGUGGCUAAUACCGCUUACUAUCCGCUGACCCCAUAGUGGAUUAGCUAGUAGGUGGGGUAAAGGCUCACCAAGGCGACGCUCCCUAGCUGGUCUGAGAGGAUGAUCAGCCACACGAGGACUGAGAAACGGCCCAGACUCCUACGGGAGGCAGCAGUAGGGAAUAUUGCACAAUGGGCGCAAGCCUGAUGCAGCCAUGCCGCGUGUAUGAAGAAGGCCUUAGGGUUGUAAAGUACUUUCAGCGGGGAGGCGUUACCCGAAGAAGAAGCACCGGCUAACUCCGUGCCAGCAGCCGCGGUAAUUC